This is a long non-coding RNA of Antechinus flavipes (yellow-footed antechinus), 597 nucleotides long. RefSeq lists it as uncharacterized. The transcript is spliced from 2 exons. The record is from RefSeq and is a predicted model, not a curated record. NCBI's taxonomy places the organism in Eukaryota, Metazoa, Chordata, Mammalia, Dasyuromorphia, Dasyuridae.
ACAGUAAGAGAGCGGUGGAGCUGAGGGCUGGAGGCUUCCAAUUUUAUCUUCUUCUGGGGAAGAGGAAAGAAAAAUAAAAUAGGUUGGGGAGGGGAAAGGAUGAAGAGGGAAAGAGGGGAGGGAAGGGGAGUUCCCGGAUGACCACGGGGCCCGGAGACUGGGGAGUCCCCGUGGGCGGCACGUCCCCGCCCAGCCCAUGGGUCACCUGCAUCCCUUACACAGGUUUUCAGGUUGUAAGGUGGAUAUUUGGUAAUACCCAAGGCAUAAAUGGAACCACUGAUAACCGCCUUAGCUCAGAAGAAUGUUUCAGUUUUGGAGAAUAGGACCCAAGAAUUCAGCUUUCAUGCCAAAAUUGGCCAUCUUCAAGUGGAUGUGGGCUCUGGUCUCUCUCAAAAUUUGGGCUCCUCUCCAACUUAUGUCUCAUAGCCCCGUCCUUUCCCAAAAGACCUUUCCUCUGUCUGCUCCUCUAGGCCUCUGUCCAGAAGUCUCUUAAGAACAGCGUCUCAAAUUGAGGGGAAAUCCAAAAGGCCUCUCAAAGGAGACAGGCCCUAUUUGUGGAGAGGAAAAGGUUAAAUAAAUGCUCAUCAUCAAAAAGCA